This 220-nucleotide long non-coding RNA is filed under the name Gossypium barbadense (sea-island cotton). RNAcentral describes it as "long non-coding RNA (GBAR_LNC004734)". The record is from RNAcentral. Lineage: Eukaryota; Viridiplantae; Streptophyta; Magnoliopsida; Malvales; Malvaceae.
UUAAAUUCACUAGAAUGGAAUGUAAAUUUUUACCCAUUUCUAGUGAUUUUUAUAUUUUUGUGAUUGUUUUAACUUAAUCUAGCUAACCUGGGGAUUAACAAAUUGUUAAAUGUUUUAGAUCAUGCCAUUGAUUAUUUUGAAGUGUUUUUGAAGUUUGAGGAUAGAUUAUUAAGUUUGGUUGUUAAAUAGGAUUAUUUUGUAAAGUAAUUUUUAGUGAUUU